GUCUCUUUGUAGCUCAAAGAUAAAGAGUCACGCCUGCCCAGUGACAAAUGUUAAACGGCCGCGGUACCCUGACCGUGCGAAGGUAGCAUAAUCAUUUGCCCUCUAAUUAAGGGCUUGUAUGAACGGUCCGACGAGAACUAAACUGUCUCUUUUAAAAUAUUUACAAAUUAACUUCUAGGUGAAGAGGCCUAGAUUUAACUAAGGGACAAGAAGACCCUGUUGAGCUUUAGUAACAUUAUAGACAUACUCAAUCAUUUAAUCGACCCAGGCACCUAUAACCAAAUCUUUAGCUGGGACGACUAAGGAAAAAACUAAUCUUCCUUUUACCUCACAAGGCACCCCUGUCAUCAAGAUCCAGCAAUUUUGCUGAUCAAAGGACAAAGCUACCACAGGGAUAACAGCGUAAUUUUUCUAAAGAGUUCUUAUCGAAAGAAACGUUUGCGACCUCGAUGUUGGACUAAGAUAUCCUGCAAGUGCAGCAACUUUCAAUGUGUUGGUCUGUUCGACCAUUAAAAUCUU
Molecule: ribosomal RNA, 519 nt
Filed under: Skeneidae sp. SW-2012
Lineage: Eukaryota; Metazoa; Mollusca; Gastropoda; Trochida; Skeneidae
Description: partial 16S ribosomal RNA
Rfam family: Bacterial large subunit ribosomal RNA
Source: RNAcentral